Haliotis rubra (blacklip abalone) is the source of this 97-nucleotide long non-coding RNA. RefSeq lists it as uncharacterized. Lineage: Eukaryota; Metazoa; Mollusca; Gastropoda; Lepetellida; Haliotidae. The record is from RefSeq and is a predicted model, not a curated record. The transcript is spliced from 4 exons.
AUUAUAUAUUUGAGCAUUUUUUGUUGAUAUAUGAUUUUCCAAAAAGAAUAUUUAUUUUACAGUUUAAUAUAUAAAGGUAAAUUUGGAAGCAUAUUUU